This 284-nucleotide long non-coding RNA is filed under the name Anser brachyrhynchus (Pink-footed goose). Its description in RNAcentral is "lncRNA (ENSABRG00000010061.1)". Lineage: Eukaryota; Metazoa; Chordata; Aves; Anseriformes; Anatidae. The record is from RNAcentral.
AGAUGGCUGACAUAUCUCCUUUUGCAGACUUAGAUGCUUCAGAGACCCCAAUGCCUCCAGAAGAAACUUUGAAGGUCUCCUAAAGCUAGGAACUUACUUUGUAUAAACUGUUGAAUAAAGAUAAACCACAGGGGACCAUACCCAGUCAAAGGCAGGCGGUGUUUCUGUCACAGCAUGUCUGUGAUAUUUCUGUGAUGAAACAAACUCGACAAGGAAACACAAAGCAGUCUGCUGGAACCAUGUUGGAGAGACAACUGAACAAACAGCUGGUUAAAGGAUUAAAG